RNAcentral lists this long non-coding RNA (971 nucleotides) under Homo sapiens (human). RNAcentral's name for it is "non-protein coding lnc-HDGFL1-2:5". The record is from RNAcentral. Lineage: Eukaryota; Metazoa; Chordata; Mammalia; Primates; Hominidae.
AGCACUCACACAAACUGAAGGGCCCGGUCUCACUCCUACCGUGCCCCCCACAACAGCCCUGAGUCUGUUUCCAGGUGGUGGGCGAGAGGGGUUUGAAAAUUUGCCCCAGGCUAUCCGCCUCCCAGCUGGGCAAGAAAAGGGCGUGGUUGUUCCCCCACUGAGGAGUCUGCACACCGGAUUUGCAUCUUCCCCUGAGUUCUGGCCUGGAGGCUUCUCGCCCCUGCAAAUUGUUACAAAGUUCAGCUAGAGGGUUCCUUCUUCCUGUGGAGUUUUACCUUCUGCUCCUCUGGCCACCCUCCUGAUGGAUCCCUGUGGUGCCAGGCAGGAAUGACCUGCUUAAGGACCCAGCGAGCUCCCAGGACCUUUCUGCUGCUUCCUCUACCCGUAUAUUUUGCUUGCUUCUCUACAUUGACUCAGCUCCAGCGAUUCCUGAGGAAUCUCAUCCACACUACCCUAUGGACUAAAAGGAAAAGCUCUUCAUGUGGUGUUAGCACGGAGAUGAGAAAGAGAGAAAGACAACAUCAUGCUUUGCUGUCUGUGUGUGAACUGAGUAACAGCUGUGAAGGAUCAGUCACCAAAAGACUUUGAAAGAAGAGGCUUGAUUGGUCACGGCCAUGGAAGUUUAAUUGGGAGAAAAGAACAUCUGCUUAUACGAAAACAUAUUAUAUUCAGCCAUCCCUGCCCUGACUUUGGCCUUUAAAAACAGUGGCAUUAAUUAUCUCAACAAAUGAAUCUUCGGGAUAAAAAUAAUCUAAAUAUUAUUUUACGCUUACUACAUAUUUGCAACGUGCUAAGCUCUUUAUGGUUGCUACCACAAAAAACAUUUAUAAUAUGAGACUUCACAAGGUUAGGAACAGGCUUCACUUCAUUGUGAUGUGUGUAAGGUGACAGAGGACAUAUAACGAAUACGUGGAAGAACUAGGAAUUUGACCUUAGCUUCCAGACAUUUUGAGGAGGAUACACUAUGUCCA